Molecule: long non-coding RNA, 210 nt
Filed under: Panax ginseng (ginseng)
Lineage: Eukaryota; Viridiplantae; Streptophyta; Magnoliopsida; Apiales; Araliaceae
Description: long non-coding RNA (PGIN_LNC009154)
Source: RNAcentral
AGCCAAUUGCCCAGUACGGAUACAGAUAUACAAAAGAUAUACAACUGAUAUACGAAAACAACUGAGACAAAAUACUGAACAAAGCCUCGAGUGCAAAUACGAACGAAAAUAUAAUAUCCAAAGAUCUGAAUGGAAUAUAUCUGAAUCAACAUAAUUGACGAAACCAAUAAAAGAAUAAAGAAAUAACGAACUGAAGUAACUAACUCAAUG